UACGUAGGGCGCAAGCGUUAUCCGGAAUUAUUGGGCGUAAAGAGCUCGUAGGCGGUUUGUCGCGGUCUGCCGUGAAAGUCCGGGGCUCAACUCCGGAUCUGCGGUGGGUACGGGCAGACUAGAGUGAUGUAGGGGAGACUGGAAUUCCUGGUGUAGCGGUGAAAUGACGCAGAUAUCAGGAGGAACACCGAUGGCGAAGGCAGGUCUCUGGGCAUUAACUGACGCUGGAGGAGCGAAAGCUGGGGAGCGAACAGG
Molecule: ribosomal RNA, 255 nt
Filed under: uncultured bacterium
Lineage: Bacteria
Description: partial 16S ribosomal RNA
Rfam family: Bacterial small subunit ribosomal RNA
Source: RNAcentral